AUUGAACGCUGGCGGCGUGCUUAACACAUGCAAGUCGAUCGGUAACAGGUGUAGCAAUACAUGCUGACGAGAGGCGGACGGGUGAGUAAUGCUUGGGAAUCUGCCUAUUAGUGGGGACAACCCGGGAACUCGGGCUAAUACCGCAUACGCUCUACGGAGGAAAGCCGGGACCGCAAGGCCUGGCGCUAAUAGAUGAGCCCAAGUCGGAUUAGCUAGUUGGUAGGGAACGGCCUACCAAGGCGACAAUCCGUAGCUGGUCUGAGAGGACGACCAGCCACACCGGAACUGAGACACGGUCCGGACUCCUACGGGAGGCAAGCAGUGGGGAAUAUUGGACAAUGGGGGCAACCCUGAUCCAGCGACGCCGCGUGGGUG
This 375-nucleotide ribosomal RNA is filed under the name uncultured bacterium. RNAcentral's name for it is "bacterial SSU rRNA". It matches the Rfam family "Bacterial small subunit ribosomal RNA", at positions 30 to 407 of the family's 1533-position model. The record is from RNAcentral.